Molecule: non-coding RNA, 3530 nt
Organism: Saimiri boliviensis boliviensis (Bolivian squirrel monkey)
Lineage: Eukaryota; Metazoa; Chordata; Mammalia; Primates; Cebidae
Source: RefSeq, a predicted model, not a curated record
UUGCCGGAAGUGGAGAGUGGCUGAUCAAAGUCCGGAGAUGGUACAUUAUGGCUGACAUGCAAAAUCUGGUAGAAAGAUUGGAGAGGGCAGUGGGCCACCUGGAGGCAGUAUCCCAUACCUCUGACAUGCACUGUGGGUAUGGAGACAGUCCUUCAAAAGCAGGAGCAGCUCCGUGCAUGCAGGCAUUUGACUUGCUGCUUGCCGGUCCUGUGACAGAAUACUUGAAGAUCAGUAAAGAGGUUGGGGGAGAUGUGCAGAAACAUGCGGAGAAGGUCCAUACAGGUUUGAAGUUGGAGCGAGCUCUCUUGGUUACAGUUUCUCAGUGUCAACAGCCAGCAGAUAACAAGCUUUCCGAUUUGUUGGCAUCCAUCUCAGAGCAGAUCAAAGAAGUGAUAACCUUUCAGGAGAAGAACUGAGGCAGCAACUUGCUUAAUCACCUGUCACCUGUCAGUGAAAGCAUCCAGGCCCGGGGCUGGGUGGCUAUGGCUCCCAAGGCUGGCCUUUAUGUGAAAAAAAUAAAUGAUGCUGUCAUGUUUUAUACAAACUGAGUCCUCAAAGAGUACAAAGAUGUGGACAAGAAGCAUGUAAUAAUAAUAACAUGGGUCAAAGCUUAUUGAAGUAUAUGGACAGAGCUGUAGGCUCACAUUAAGGAGUUCCAUACCACUGGGCUGGCAUAGAACAAAACGAGGCCUGUGGCAAAAGAACUGAGUGGACUGCCUUUUGGACCCUCUGCUGGACCAGAUCCUCCUUCCCCUCCACCAGGCUCCCCUCCUCCACCAGUCUCUCCCAGUUCAGGCUCAGAUGAGUCUGCUUCCUGCUCAGCACUGUUUGCACAGAUUAAUCAGGGGGAAAGCAUCACACAUGCCCUAAAACACGUGUCUGAUGACAUGAAGACUCUCAAGAACCCUGCCUUGAAGGCUCAGAGUGGUCCAGUACACAGUGGCCCCAAGCCAUUCUCUGCACCUAAACCCCAAACCAGCCCGUCCCCCAAACCAGCCACAAAGAAGGAGCCAGGUGUACUUGAACUGGAGGGCAAGAAGUGGAGAGUGGAAAAUCAGGAAAAUGUUUCCAACCUGGUGAUUGAUGACACAGAGCUGAAACAGGUGGCUUACAUUUACAAGUGUGUCAACACGACAUUGCAAAUCAAGGGCAAAAUUAACUCCACUGCAGUAGAUAACUCUAAGAAACUUGGCCUGGUAUUUGAUGAUGUAGUGGGCAUUGUGGAGAUAAUUAACAGUAGGGAUGUCAAAGUUCAGGUAAUGGGUAAAGUGCCAACCAUUUCCAUCAACAAAACAGAUGGCUGCCGUGCUUACCUGAGCAAAAAUUCCCUGGAUUGUGAAACAGUCACUGCCAAAUCUUCUGAGAAGAACGUCCUCAUUCCUACAGAAGGCAGUGGUUUUAAUGAAUUCCCAGUUCCUAAACAGUUCAAGACCCUAUGGAAUGGGCAGAUGUUGGUCACCACAGUGACAGAAAUUGCUGGAUAAGUGAAGCACCACUGGGUUCUUUGCCCUCCCUUCACACCAUGGGAUAAAUCUGUAUCAAGAUGGUUCUUUUCUAGAUUUUCUCUACCUUUCUGCUCUUAAAACUGCUUCUCUGCUCUGAGAAGCACAGCUACCUGCCUUCACUGAAAUAUACCUCAGGCUGAGAUUUGGGGUGGGAUAGCAGGUCAGUUGAUCUUCCGCAGGAAGGUGCAGCUUUUCCGUAUCAGCUCAACCAUGCCGCCAGUCCAUUCUUAAGGAACUGCCAACCAGGACUGAUGAUGCAUUUUAGCUUUGAGCUUUUGGGCAUUAUUCUACCAACAAAUAGUCCAUUGAGAAGAAAACAGUCCCAGGAAUUAACAGAUCAGAAUGUUCACACUGAUUAAUCUUUUUCUAACAAUGAGCAUGAAGAUAGCAGAAGCUGGUGUGUUUCCAGAUGGUUCUUCUAACCAAACUAAUUUUUUACUGUUGACAAGUGAGGCAAGGGUUGCACUGGACCAAAGACUGAGGCUUGGCCAUCUGGCAUUCCACACAAAGUUGUUCCCUAUAAGCAUUCCUUUUAUUCUCUAUUCCAUCCUGGGUCUGCCUCAUGCUGUGGCAGUGCCCUUCAUCCAGAGCAGUUAAAGGAGUCUUGGACCCUUUCUCUAGGAUUCCUGCCCAGCACCUUCUACAGAGAUGACUUAAAAGGAAAAAAAAAAAAAAAGGAAAAACACCAUUCCGAGGAGUCUGGCAUUCCUGAAUCCUCCUUCCUUGCUAGGUGCCUGUCACCUGUCUUCACUCUCUCCUUUUCCCUGUCAUGCUCAUCAGCCAUGGCUUCUGUCCAAGCACCUGAACAGAGGACUAAAACCUCCAUUGCAGGCUGGUUUUAGGUCUUGAUUUAUGUAAAAAUUUUGCACAGCAUUGCUAAUGUAAAGUUCAGUUUUUUCCCUCUAGGACAAACACUUAACAAAAUGUGCAACUUUUUUUGAUGGGAAGAGAGAUUGUCCUGUGAUUUCUACCCAUUUCCUGAGGCCUGUGGAAAUAAACCUUUAUGUACCUAAAGUUAAAAAAAAAAAAAAAAAAAGAAAGAAGCCAGGGAAAGGAGGAGUGUGUGUAGUCCUGGUGGUUAGGAUGGAGGAGAAGGAGAUUUUAUAUCAGGUGGUCAGAGAAGGCCUGAUCUCUGAGUAAAGAUGUAAAGGAGACAUGGGAGUGAACCAAGAGGAUAUUUUAGGGAAGGAUAUUCCAUGCAGAGGGCACAAUGAGGACAUGAGGCAGGCAUAUGCCUGCAGUGUGGAAGCCGCAAGGCCAGCAUGGCUGGAGUGUAAUGAGCAGGCAGGUAUAUGACUCUGAUGUGGGGAGACAGCUUGUAGAUUAACUUGUAGACCAGGGUAUGGGGUUUGGCUUUUACUUGACUGAAAUCUAAAAUAAUCAGAGUAUUUGAUUAGAGUAGUGCUGUGAUCUUAUGUUUUGACCAGAUCACUCAGGCUGCUGUGGAGAUUAGAUUGAAGGGGAGCAAGACCAAUAACCCAUCAAGAUUGAAGUGACUUAGAUCAAUGUGAUAGCAGUAGGAGGGGAAGGAGUUGUCGAUUAUACUUUGAAGAUAGAGCAAUAAGAUCCACUAAUGGAUCUAAUAUGAGAUAUAUGAGAAAGAGAAGAAUUAAGGAUGACUUCAGUAUUUUUGAUGUGAUGAUCUGUAAGGAGUGAAGUUGCCUUUAAAUGAGAUGGGGUAGAUGGAAAUGAUUGGGAACUCAGUUUUGGACAUGUUGAGUUUGAGAUGCUUGCUAGUUCUCAAAGUGGAGGUGUCAGGUAGGCAGUUGACAAUGCGAGUAUGGAGUUCAAGGCUUAGAUAAGUGGGGUGUUUGUGUCUUUGUGUAUGUGGAAGGGGUCACCAUAUGGAUGAGAUGUAUUGCCAUGGUAAGGGAUGACAUCACCAAGGGCAUGAAUUUAGACAAAAAAGAGAAGUUGAAGAGGAAAACCAGGGGAAGUAGAGCCCCAGAAGCCUAGUGAAAAAGAAUCUUUCAACCCUUGGAGCUGUUUUUGGUUGUCAUAACUGGAAGGGGUGGUUAGGAGGGG